RNAcentral lists this long non-coding RNA (14949 nucleotides) under Solanum tuberosum (potato). RNAcentral's name for it is "long non-coding RNA (STUB_LNC003233)". The record is from RNAcentral. Lineage: Eukaryota; Viridiplantae; Streptophyta; Magnoliopsida; Solanales; Solanaceae.
UACAUGAUAGAGAUUCAAACCGUCUACAUAUAUAAUUAACGUGGAAGAUGAGUUACCUCAACAAAGAGCCUGGGAAGAUUGGGAGAAAGAAAACGCUUCUUCAAUCUAAAUUCACUAACUACAUAUAUAAUGACAAGAUCUUUAGACUUCUAAAUACCGUAAUAAUAUAAACUACUGAUGUCUUAGGAGUAUACAAAUGCAAAAGACAGUACUACACUUAUUUAAAAGAGGAGAAAAAAAUAUAUUAGUGAGAUAAACUAACUCAGGACUGAGGUACACGGAACUGUUCUUAAGUUUUGGGGUACUGUCUUUCACAAUAAUAACAUAAUUGCAUGCGGACGUUUAAAGUGGAAUGGGAACAGCUAGCAAAGGACGCGAUCUGGCUAGUGUAAUACCAAACUUUUCUUCUACAUCCAAAUCUUCUACUGCAAUAUCGCCUUCAGCUUUCCAAUCAAAUGAAUUCAACAACGAACCCAACAUUGUACAUAAUUUUGCAGUCGCCAAAUUUAAUCCCGGGCAAAUUCUUCUACCAGCACCAAAUGGAAUGAGUUCAAAAUCUUGGCCACGAACAUCCACUUUCAAAUCCCAAAAUCUCUCUGGCUUAAAUGUGAGAGGAUCCUCCCAUGUAGCUGGAUCACGACCUAUUGACCAUACGUGCACUAACACUUGAGAUUCUUUCGGAACAAAAUAGCCACAUGCCUCGACGUCUCGAUCGACCUUGCGAAUCAAAAAGGGCACUGGAGGGUGCAUCCGCAAGGUUUCUUUCACUAUGCACUGCAAAUAAGGGAGACGAGCAAUAUCGCCUUCUUCGAUUAUCUUGCCUUUCCCGAUGACAUCUGCAAGCUCGCUUUUAGUUUUAUUCAUUAUGUAUGGUUUUCUCAUAACCUCUACCAUUGCCCAUUCUAAUGUACUUGAAGUUGUAUCCGUUCCCGCAACGAAAAGGUCCUGCAAUAUAUAUGUAAUUGAUGGAAGAAAAUAAAAGGAACCUAAUGAAGUAUAACAGAUCACCAAAUGUCUAAUAAGAAGAGGGGAAUUCAAGAUUUUAGAUUUAGGGUUCAACUAUUAGCUUUUUAGCACAAAAUUCGUUGUAUUACAAUUGAAACUACAGGUUCAUGAUAAUUAAUAUUUUCUGAAUUACUAAUAGUUUCAUGGGUCGAAAAUAAUUGUUCAGAAGGUCUAAUCGGCUGUGCAUAUUAGGAACUUAACCAAGGUAGAGAAGUUCAAAGUUACCAGGCACAAGUGUUGUAUAUGAUUUCUGUCGAUUGCCUGCGGAUCUUCUUCGCUAGUAUUUAACAUAACUUCGAGAAAAUCCGUUCUACUGCCAUUUGGUGAUUUCCUCCUUUGCUCCAAUCGUUCAUCAACCAAUCCCUUUAUAAUCUGGUGAAGCAACUUAUCAAAAUGCUUGCCUAUGCGUCGCCUUAUCCCUUGAGGAUCAAUCCUUUUCAACACUGGAAAAUAAUCGGCGAAAUUUGGCCUACCAGAUUCUUCCAUAACAUCCCAGACUACAUCCUUAAAUUCUUUACCUGAAUUUGCAUAAGGGUCCACUACAUCCUUGGAAAAAAUGGUAUUGGAAAGUAGAUUAAUCAUGGUCUCGAAAGCAGCUUGGCCUAUAUUCACUGACUCACCAGUUUGGCUACACUUGCGGCAAUAACCAAUAAAAUCUUGCAUCUUUUGGGUCCUGACAUCAAAGUGACGUACAAAAUCAAUUUUUGCUUAAAGUAUGGUAAAUAAUGACAUGUUUGUUAGUUGAAUUAUAUGAAUCAAAAUAUCAUUGUAUAUUAGUUUGAUCAAAUUAAACUCACCCAUUGGUGACUUUUACCUGAGAUGCUGAGUUGCGUCAAGCUUGUUGCUGGAGAACAUAUUAGAAUUCAAAAUUUUCCUUAGGCUUCUCCAGCGAGAAGCAACUGGUAGAAACACAACAGAGAACUGAUGGUGAUUAUGGGCACGGAUUGCAUCUGGAAUUGUUCUGCUGGAGAAGGCCAAAUCUUGUUUUUGUAAGACUUGUUUGGCCACGGCUGAUGAAGAUACUACCACUGUUGUUAUUUGCCCCAUUCUGAGGCUCAUCAUUGGCCCAUAUAUUUGGGCAAGCCUAGCAAGUGACUUGUGAGGUUGAUCGCCAACAAUAUUAUGCAAAUUUCCAAUCAAUGGAAGGGGAAUUGGCCCUGGUGGAAGUUUUUUGUUACCUCUCUUGUUUAUUGCUACCCAUUGAAGCAAAGCCCAGGCAAGUAGUAAUCCACCUACAAUGACUACAUAAUCCAUUGGUAAUUAAAUAACUAAUUAAGAGUAUGUACGUGCCUAGCUUAUAUUAGUUACAUUAUGUAAUGGUUAUAUAUAUAUAUAUACUGCAUCAUCCAUUUAUCCUAAAUGUUGAAGGUGUUAAUCACGCAGAACCUCUGGUGCGGUUGAACACUGCUAUUCAAAGUUUGAAAAACAAACUAGGCCUAACACAUACACAACCCCUCAAACUUGCCCUCAUUUUUCAUUUUGGCACUCCAACUUAGCCUUGUUCCAUUUUAACCCUUAAACUCCAUUUUUUCUGUACCAUUUAAACACUUAUACUAUUUUUUAUAAUUUGUUUUUAUUUAUGUUCUUCAAUUGCAAUUUCUUAUUUUAAAAAAAUAGGCGUGUGCCUGUUAAUUUUCGUAAAAAAAUUAAACAUUCGCGAACGAACAUAAAAAAUUUCAAACAAUAAUACUCCCUCCGUUUCACAAAGAAUGACCUCCUUUCCUUUUUAGUCAGUUUCAAAAAGAAUGACCUCUUUCCUUUUUUGGUAACAUUUUACUUUUUGCUUUCCACGUGACAUGUUUAAGACCACAAGAUUAAGGGCAAUUUUGUACAUUUGCCAUAACUUUAAUUUAGGACCACAAGAUUCAAAAGUCUUCUUUAUUUACUUAAACUCCGUGCCAAGUCAAACCAGGUCAUUCUUUGUGAAACGGAGGGAGUAUUAUUUUUUGAUAUUUCUCUGUAUUUUUGCAUGAAAAUAAAUUGACGAAAGUUCUUUGAUUUUCUUUCUUAAACAUUCAAUUAAAUUAAAUAACACUACUUAUUUAUUUUUUCUUAUCAUCUAGGCUAUCUAAAUUUAACGCAAAUACUCACUUUUAAUUUUUAAUAUAAAUCAAUACGAAUAAAAAAACNNNNNNNNNNNNNNNNNNNNNNNNNNNNNNNNNNNNNNNNNNNNNNNNNNNNCUGAUUUUGUUAAUAACACUAAUAAAAAAAGACUCUUGUUCAUUGCUAAUAACACUACUAAACAAUAUUAAAACUCGACUGACUUUGUUGGGUUGUCGGUGAUUUUAAAGAAAGCAAACCAACACAAUUUCGUCGGUUAUUUUUCACACAAAAAUACAUAAUACUCUUAAAAAGAAAUUAUUAUUUUUUGUUAAUUUUUAAUUUUUUAACUAAAAUUAACUGACUCAUGUCGAUUUAAAAUAAGAAGUUGCAAUUGAAGAAUAUAUAUAAAAAUAAAGAAAUCAUAAAAAUAAUAUUUCGUGUUAAAAUGUUACAUAAAAAAAUGAUAUCCAUAUUAUCAAUACUUAUUUGUUGCUUGGUAUUUUACAGGAUUUUUUGUUUUACUAGAGUUGAAGUUUAUUUUGGCUUUUAGCUUUGUGUUCUCAUUUGAUUAUUUCCAAAGUUAUUACUAAAUAUCCAUAUUAUCUGCCGGUUAAUCCCUUUAGUAUUGUUAUUAAACAUAGGAAGGCCGUCUUUGUUUAUUUUGACCCGUCCAUAUCUUGAUUCGAUCCACCCGUUCGUCACUCCUCACAAUUGAGGAGAAUUCGCAUCAGGCUCUGCGCAAUCAACCAUUAACGGAACCUAAUUUGUUCUUCAUGGCGAGGGAUCACAUGGAUGCUCCUCCUCCUCCAUGAUCGAUAUCCCAUUCCAUCAAAUUAAAGGAACAAGAACAAGCAUUAAUCCAGAGCUGUCUAACAGCGCCGUCUCAAUAAGUUUGGGGCCUAAAGUCAAACUUCAUAGAAACCUUAUUUCUUAGUUGUCAUAUGUAAAUUGAAUAACUAUAAAAUACUCAAUGUAAUCACGAGAGAAGUCUCGAGAAGGUAGGAUAUAUGCAAAUCGUAUGAAUUAAGAAUGUAAACAAAUAAAAAAAAAUAAGAUCAAUUUAAUAAAAUAAAAUAUGUUGUAAGUCAAUAUGAGGCAAGUAAAAUAAAAUUGAAGGAGUACGUAAAAUAAAAAUAAAAUAAAAAAUGGCGUGUUUGUGAAAAGAACCUCAAAGACUUACAUGAUACAUCACUUGAACUUCUAAGUUGGUUGUUGUUUGACUGAGUUGCUUGUGUUGGUAUUUGGACACUUUGUGUUUCACGUUUGAGAUAAAAGUAUCUGUGCAACUAUUUUAGGUUGGUGGGUAUUUCAAUUCAAAAUGUAUUUCAUUAAUCAUACUCCCUCCGUCCAAUAUUAGCUAAUUAUCUUUACUAAAAAUAGUUGUUUUAUAUUAGUUGUCUACCUUACUAAAUUAAGUAAAUAUUAAUUAAAUUAUUCCUAUAUUACCCUUGCAAUUACUAUUCAUUUUGAAAGUGUUCACAUUUGUUUGUAAAAUUCCUAAGAAUUUUUUAAAGAAUGAAUUAGUAAAAUCAUCUUCUUAUUUAUGACUUCUUAAUAUGUGUAUAACGAAAAGUGAUAAACUAAUAUGGGAGAGUAAUAAGUCAUUUCCGUACAAAUAUGUAAACCAGGAAAAUUUAAAAGGUAGCGCGAAUCUAUCACUUUUCAUACAAAUCUCUCAUGAAUUAAAAAAAAAAAAAAAGGUAAACAAAGGAUCCUUUGAGUCCUUUGAUCUUGGCUUCCCUGAAGGCACUUGUUGAGAAAUUGUAAAAAUGACCUGUCGACGUCUAGAAAUAUUCAUCCUUUCUGUCCAGAAAUGUGUUACUCACUUUCAUAGUCAAAGUCAGAAAACUGCCCUCCAAUUCUGCUUUCAUUGCAAAAAUGUGUUCAAACUUCAGACAAAAGCAUGAACAAAGAACAGCUAACGAACACGAACAUAAUGAAUUAAUGAGAAUUGUGAAACUUAAACUAUCUAAGAUCAUUUAGGUCUGGCUGGCUUUAGGAUCAUGAAAAAUAUGCCAGAUUUUACUUCCCUUGUCCAACAAUACUUGUCCACUAUUGACUUUGCACAUUUUUUAAGAAACUAUAAAUAGAAGGAUAGUUUUAGCAUAUCACCCUUUAAAUAUAGUAAAUACAAUAUAUUGAAAAAAAUGUAAUAGGAAAAUAACUAUAAUUAUGUAAAGUAUUAGUAGUAAUUAAAUUUAGAUUUUCAAAAUAUUAUUCAUAGGACGUGUGCGUUCUUAAAUUAUUUCUUCACUUCAUUUCAUCUUCUUUCUGACUUUUAGCACCCAAAAUCAAGUCAUUUGUUAACAAAAACCUUUCUUCUUUUUUUUUAAUCAAGAUUAAUUUUGUUUGCAAAUUCAAAACUUGAUGGGCCGGGGCCUGUUAUGGAUCUAGCGCCACCUACCUAGAAAACGGUGAAACAAGUGAACUAUACCCCGAUCUCAUCUCCAAAGAUAGGUAGAGAAAGCAGACAAUCUGAAUUAUUCGCUGAUUAUAAUUAUGUAACCUGUGUCAAUUGUCAUGUUGACUUAUUCAAUAAUAACAUUAUUACUUGCUCAAUUUGGAGCCGACGUUUAAAGUGGAAUAGGAACAGCUAGCAAAGGACGUGAUCUCGCCAGUGUAAUACCAAACUUUUCUUCUACAUCCAAAUCUUCUGGUACAAUAUUGCCUUCAGCUUUCCAAUCAAAUGAAUUCAACAAUGAACCCAACAUCACAGAAAGGGUCCUGGAUGCCAAAGGUAACCCUGGACAAAUUCUUCUACCAGCACCAAAUGGAAUGAGUUCAAAAUCUCGGCCACGAACGUCCAUUUUCGAACCCCAAAAUCUCUCAGGCUUAAAUGCCAGAGGAUCCUCCCAUAUAGCUGGAUCACGGCCUAUUGGCCAUAUGUGCACUAACACUCGAGAGUCUCUUGGAAUAAAAUAGCCACACGCCUCAACGUCUUGAUCUACCUUUCGGAUCAGAAGGGGAACUGGUGGGUGCAUUCGCAAGGUUUCUUUCACUAUGCACUGCAAAUAAGGGAGACGGGCAACAUCGGCUUCCUCGAUUAUCAUGCCUUUGCCAAUAACAUCUGCAAGCUCGGUUUAAGCUAAUUGAAUCCGUCUUGUGUGAUUAAUUUGGCAGUCACUUUAUAGAGGAAUCGCGUGAACCUGUUUCUCUUGUUUAGCAAAAAAUAAAAUAAAGAGGAAUCACUCAUUAAAUCUUUUUCAUGAAUGUGGACUUUUUCUUGCAAAUUAUCAAGAUGGGCUAGUGAAAUAAUCAUCAAAGAUGUUAAUCUUAGGUUCUGAAGUUGAUGACGGUGUUGUUGCCAAGAACAGAGUGAGAAAAAGUAGAGUAGAAAUGAUAGCCAAAGAGGUUAAGACAGAAUCUCCACAUCAAAAAGUAUGUUUUUUUUUCUCUAUUUAUAAAUACUGUUCGUGGGUUUCUUCUCCGGAGGUUUUCAUUUGUUUAUUAUGGAGGAGUGGUCUAUGUACUUGACAGAUUAUUUUUAAUAUCAAAAUACUAUAGAAUUUUGUUUCUUUAGGUUGCGGGAGAAAAAACAAAUCAUGUCAUGUUAAUUAACUCGUUGCAGUUUCUCAGGCAUCCAGAAAUUGAAGAUUUCGCAUAUAAAAGUGACAAUAUUUAUGCUCAAGCGUAAUCGGAUAUAUAGGGAGUACUUUAUUAUGUCAAACUGAUUAUAGAAAGAGGAAGAGAAUUACAUAGUUGAGAUCGGAAAUGUCUGUAGAGAAAGCAGACAAAUCUAAAUUAUUCGCUACGUUUAAAGAGGAAUAGGAACAGCUAGCAAAGGACGCAAUCUGGCUAGUGAAACCCCAAACUUCUCUUCUACAUCUAAAUCUUCUGGUGCAAUAUCGCCUUCAGCUUUCCAAUCAAAUGAAUUCAACAAUGAACCCAGCAUAAUGGAAAUUGUCCUCAUUGCCAAAGGUAUCCCUGGACAAAUUCUUCUACCACCACCAAAUGGAAUGAUUUCAAAAUCUUGACCACGAACAUCCAUUUUUGAAUCCCAAAAUCUCUCUGGCUUAAAUGUCAAAGGAUCAUCCCAGUUAGCUGGGUCACGGCCUAUUGACAAUACGUGCACUAACACUUGAGAGUCUUUCGGAACAAAAUAACCACACGUCUCAACAUCUUGAUCUACCUUGCGAAGCAAAAUGGGUACUGGUGGGUGCAACCGCAAGGUUUCUUUCACUAUGCACUGCAAAUAAGGGAGUUGGGCAACGCUGGCUUCUUCUAUUGCCUUGCCUUGCCCAAUAACUUCAGCAAGUUCAGCUUUAGCUUUUCUCAUUAUGUAUGGCUUUCUCAUGACCUCUACCAUUGCCCAUUCAAAUGUAUUUGAAGUUGUAUCCGUUCCCGCAAUGAAAAGGUCGUGCAAUAUAUAUAACUAAAUCUAAGGGAUGCCAAAAAUUGAUAAAUUGGAAAUCUCUACUUACAAUGUGAUAGUACUUACAUCAUUAUGUAACUAUUAUAGUAACUAUUUUCUUUAUAAAUUAGCUAUCUCUUAUAUGUAAUGGAUUCUUAGGCAGUAAAUAAUGUGUAUACUUUUUAACAUAAAUAGAACAAUGUGCAGGGCAUGCGACAAUAGAUCUUCCCCUAAUAUCUGUUACACAAUAUAUGAUGAAUACAUCUACAAUUUGGCCAAAGAGGAAGGAUAAAUUAAAUCCAGUAACAUACACACACACUGUAAUUAACAAAAGUCGAAUGCAUAACCUAAAGGAAGAAGUUGAAAGUACCAGGCAUAACCGUUCUAUGUGAUUUCUGUCGAUUGCCUGAGGAUCUUCUUUGCUGGUAUUUAUCAGAAUGUCAAGAACGUCAGUGCUACCAAUAGUUGCCGAUUUCCUCCUUGCCUCCAAUCGUUCAUCAAUCAGUCCCUGAAUCUGUUGAAGCAUGCUUUCCUAUUCUUCGCCUUAUUCCUUGGGGAUCAAUCGUUUUAAACACGGAAAAAAAAUCAGCCAAAUUGGGCUUACCAGCUUCUACCGAGAUGUUCCACACCACAUCCUUGAAUUCUUUACCUGAAUUUGCAUAAAGGUCCACAACAUCCUUGGAAAAAAUGGUAUUGGAAAGUAAAUUCAUGGAAGUCUCGAAAGCAGCUUGGCCUAUAUUCACUGCCUCACCAGUUUCACUACAUCUACGGCAAUAAGCAAUCAAAUCUCGGAUCUUUCCGGACCUAAAAAGAGUUAGUUACUCAUUCAGUAUGUAACUCAUCACACAAUAGAAUAACUGUAUGGGUCAAACUGAAACAUAUAAAAUCAGAUUUGGAUAUUGAAAAUUAUAUGACUUUGACCCAAGCUAACUUUGGUCAGAUCAAAUUUGAGUAAAGUAACCCAUUUGGCACGCUACUGCUACCUGAGAUGUUGAUUUGCGUCAAAUAUUGAUACAGGAAUUCAAUAUUUUCCUUAGGCUUUUCCAUUGAUCAGCGACUGGUAGCCAUACGACAGAGAAUUGGUAGUGAUUUAGGGCACAAAUUGCAUCUGGAUGUGGUCUACUAGAAAAGGCCAAAUCUUGCUUUUGUAAGACUUGUUUAGCAAUGACUGGUGAAGAUAUAACCACUGUCGUCAUUUGGCCCAACCUGAGGCUGAUUAUAGGGCCAUACUUUUCAGCAAGUUUCGUAAGGGGUUGGUGUGGUUGACCACCAAGUAUGUUGUGAAGAUUUCCAAUCAAGGGCAGUGGUUUUGGUCCUGCUGGAAGUUUCUUGUUACAUCUUUUGCAUAUCACUAGCUUACAAAUACACUGAACCAAAGUCCAGGCUAGUAGCAAUCCACCUACAAUCACUACAAAAUCCAUUGGCCGGUUUCUUCGCUGAACAAGCUAUUGCAUUAGUUACUGCUCACUUGGUCUUGCUUUCUGCCUUCAUUAUUAUAAAGUCACUGCUUCCCUUAAUUUUAAUGUAGUAAAUCCGUUGGGAAAAUAUUUACUAACACAGUUUCAAAUGUUGCUUGAUUUGAUAAAGAAAGAUUUUUGAAAGUUAUGAUAUAAAAUAAGUUAUAAAACUUUAUAUGAUCAUAAAUUUAAAUAAAAUAAUCAUUUAAAAAUUAAACUAUUACUAAAUAUAAAAAAUUAUCAUUCUAUUUGAGUUAACUAUAAAAAAGGAGGGAAAAAAAGAGUGUGUCACAGAUGAGAUAAGAUUUACAAUUCAAUAUCUAUUUAAUGAAUGCAUCUCUGUCUUCGGCUGACGAUGACCGAUUAAUAAUUCGGGUAAAAAGAUACUCCCACUAAGCAGUUCUUAACAAUAUCUCUGUCUUCGGCUGACGAUGACUGAUUAAUAAUUCGGUCAUACAAUUUGUUAUUACUUAAUAAAUAUAUUUGGUAAACAUCUUAAGUUUUCAAAUCUAAUAUUUAGAAAAUAUUUGGAAAUUUUUAAUAAUUUUAAAAUUACCCUAUACUUUUAUACUUUCUUUUGUCCAGCGAUUAUCUAUUAUUGUUUUUGUACAUUUUUUAAGAAACUAUAAAUAAAAGUGUAAUUUUACUAUAUCAAUUAUCACCCUUUGAAUAAACAAUGUUUUAAAAAAUGUAAUAGAAAAAUAGAGUUUUUGACCAAAAACAUCCUUAAACUAUACCCCAAACUUAAGUUACAUCCUUAAAAUAUAUUUUUUGGCAAAAAAACAUCCUCUAAGUAUUUGAAAGUUAACAAUAUUCAUCCUUAUGUAAGAUAUCGUCAAAAAACUAAGGGAUCCUACAAAAAUAUGAGCAGUUCACGUGACUAUCAACAAAAGUUUUCUUCGUAAUUUCAUUACCUACUAUAAGAAGUUUCUGAAAAAAAUAUUAGAAAUCUUAGACACCAUUGCUUAUUGAAACAAAAAAUGUUUAGAACGUCAUGUGAGGUUAAUACAUGAUCUGCUCUUUUUCUCAUUUAGUAAUGGAAAGAAGUUGGAGCUUAAUUAUCUUUACUUUUUUCAAAGUCAAACUGUAUUUAGAUCAAUAAUUUUUUGGGUCAAACUGUAUUUAGAUCAAUAUUUUUUUGGGUCAAUCUGAUAUUGAAGUGAUCAAAAUAUUGAUUAUGUCUCGCAUUUGAGUUUCAUUCUACAUUAUUGGAAGCAAAAGUCUCCAACAAACGUUGCUUCUAGCAUAUUUAAUUGAGAAGAAACAUAUUUCAACUAAUAAUAUUUUUAAUAUCAAAUUACAUGAAAAAUAAAUGAAAAAAACGUCAAAUUAAUUUUUUUGCAUAAUGCAAAACUCAAUUACCGAAAAAGUUCACAAUAGUAUUUUUGGCGUAUCUAAGAAUAAUAAUUAUGAAGGGAUGAGUUGAUUUUUGUGGGAUCUAUUAGUUUUCUGAUAAAUUCAAGUAGAAGGAUGAAAAUUGUUUACUUUUAAAGAGUUUAAGGAUGUUUUCUGCUAAGAAAGAUACUUUAAGAAUGUAGUUUAAGUUUGGGGUAUAGUUUAAGAAUGAUUUUGGUCGAAAACUCUACAAAAAAAUGACUAAAAUUAAUUAUAAGAACAAAUUAAAAACUAAAUAAAGAAUUAUCUAUUAAUUUCAUAAAGUAAAUAAAUAUGGAUAAAUUACUUAAAUACACACCUUUAGUUUUCAUAAUUUCCAUUAUUCCCUAUCAUUUUAAAAUAUCUCCAAAAUCCCUCCUUUUCUUCCCAAACUCCACUGUUCCAGAUACAUAAAGUUUCAACAUUCAAAACACACGUUUCUCUUCCUAAUUUCACUCCCUUAAUCUCUCCCUAUUUCACUCCCUCAAUCUUUACUUCCUUCAUUUUUUAAUUUUCAGAUUUGUUCUCUCUCCAUAAGAUCGCUCCAUAACUUUUUCCAAGAACCCAAGUAAAUUUUCACUCCACAAUUUUUUCUAAAGAACUACCGGGUCUCCUCCCUUUCCACAUUCACAAAAUGUAUAAGGGAAAGGUGAAAGAGAUGAUGUAUCCCCAUUGCUCCUUGCAACAAAAUCGUUUCCAAGGAUCCUCUUUCGCUGGUGAAAUCACUUUCCAUUGUUGACAGUGAAAAAAGAUACAUAAGUUUUGAUAUAGAGCAAAGAUAAAAGUGUAGGGGGAUUUCUUCGUCAUUUUUUUUGCUUUCAACAGAUCAAUUGUUGAUUUUUUUUCGAAUUUUUGUUGUUCAUCCUUUAUAAUACAUAUGAGUUCAGAUUUUAAUGUAUCUAGUUGAUUUUGUUUCUUAAACUAAUGUAUAAUGCCUUCGUUGAUUUUCAAUGUAUCUUGUUUAUUUUGAUUCUUAAAUUAGCCUUUUUUUAGUGCCAUCACUGAUCUGAUACAUCACUGUUACAAUAACUUUUGUUUUAUGCAAUGUAUCAUAUUCAUAUUUAAGGUGUUGAUACAUAACCCUAAUGUUGUUGAAUAUUCGAUUAAUUUUAUCAUAUUCAAUAUAAAUGUUGUUGAUACAUAAACACUACCUAGUGUAUCAUCUACAUGUAUCAAGUUCUUUAAUGUAUCAUCAAUCUUAGUCAAAUUUAAAAGGCUAUUAGCCAGUAACAAAUCAAUUGUGUGUUAUGUACUGCACUCUUUACUAUUUGUUCAGUCUUACCCAACUUAGAAUGCGAUGUAUAUAUACAUUUUACCCAAUAAUAAUCUUGAUACAUAAAUCAUAAUGUUCUAUAACUGGAGCACUAUGUAUCAGAUCCAACAAUAGGUAUAUGAUACAUAUUCAUUCUUUGGUCAAACUAGAACUACAUGUAUAUGAUACUUAAUAACAACCACACAGUAAUGUAUCGAUCUAAAAAUCUUUACUUCUCUAAUGUAUCUGAUAGGAUUACAAUACUUAGCAAUUUACUAAAUAUUUAGGAAUGGUAAUGUAUCAUGAGUAAUGUAUCCUUUUUUCCACAACGUCCACAAGGUAUCUCGUCUAGUUGAAAUCUACCACAAUUACAUAUUUUUCGCUUAAGCUAAACAAUGUAUUUUCUUCCAGCAUCAAACUAACACAUAGCGACACAAUUUUGUAGCCAUCUUAUAACACGUACCAGAUACAUUACAAUAACCAAUGAUACAACCAUUCAACAAAAUCCAAGAUGGAUAUAUAUUUAUGUAUCAUCCACACUUGUUUCUCGAUCAAAACAAGUAAUUUACAUAUCUUGAUUGUUACACUAUUUAUAUGUACAAUAUACAUAAUAAUAGUCUGAACUCUGAUACAUUUAUACGAAUUUGUGAUACACACUCGAUAUUCAAAACGUAUUUGAUCCAUCUCAAUUGUUAAUCCAUUUAUUACAUGUAUCAUAUACAAUAUAUUAUGAUGAUACAUUUUUAUACAAAUCCCAUCCAGAUACAAAAUAAUGACCACAUCAUAAUUCAUAGAUUCAAAACUACAAUACACGCCCAUCGUUUACCAUUAAUGUAUCAUGACUUACAUAUUCACAUCAAAACGACAAACAAAACAAUGACUCUGAGCUUUUUUCUGAUAUUGAUCACUAGAUUAUGUUUCUGUCGAAGAAAAAUGUCCAAAGGUAAUGACUAUUGCUUUGUUUUAGUCCUUGCAAUACCAAAGCUUCAGGUAACACUACAGUCUGCACAACAUCAAGCAAUUAAACUUGAAGUUUAUUAACUACAAUAUGAUUCAACACGCUGCAUAUGCGCUUCACUUGAUCAACAACAACCCCAAUUUAGAAAGGCUCUGAUUGAUGGUACGUCUUAUUUUUUAUUAAAUAGGCUGAAUUGUUACUGCUUCAUUUGACAAUAAAUCAUAAGCCCUCCUUUUCAGUUUCUAAGGUGUAAUGAUUCUAAGGAUGUUGUGGAGCGUUUUAUUCAUCACUUGUAAUCCCAAAUAAUGACAUAUAAUGCUCAAAAGGGUGGAUAUAUAUAAAACUGAUUUUGUUUUCUAAAUUGGAAUUUAUGAAGCAUAUAUCGGCAUCUACAACUGCACUUGAGAAAAUGUGUUGUUAGCAAUGUUAGCAACUUCUCAGAUUCAUUAAUUUUCUCUGAACAAGAAAUGAAUUAACUUUUAAGAAAUCAAAUUAAAUUUUAAUAAACGAAAGAUGAAAAAGGGAAUAGAAACUUGCUAGUUGACAGAUGGAUCUUGUUAGCAAUGUUAGCAGCAGCCAAGGUUGUCCAAUCAGAUUUGUGUGAUACAUUGAAUUCAAAUUACUCAACGAUUUCAAAUUGAUGAUUCGAAAUCGUGAAUCGUUUGUCCAAUCAUCUACAACGGCGGAUUUGAGAUUCAAGAUUUUGAAUUUAUGGAGAAGAUGAAAUUUUGAUUUUUAAAUUUUGUGAAGUUGUUACAGAUUGGAAUAGAUUGAUAUCAAUCAAUCUGUGUGAUUUGUGGGAAAAGAAAAUCAGCACUGCGUGAUUUGUGGGAAUAGAAAAUCAGUUUUGCGUUAUUUUGGGAAAGAAAAUCAGUUUUACAUUAGUAUUCCAUAUUUAGCGCAACAGACAAGUUUAUAGUGUAUCCGGAUAAAAUUUAUGUAUUCGAAAUGUUGAUUUUUUAAGGGAUUUUUGUAAAUGAAAAGGAGUUUAUGUCUACUUUUACCAUUGACCCACGUUCUCUGUGGACUGUGGGUAUGAAACAAAAGAAAAAAAAGAGGAAACACCCCAGAAACUCCAUACCUCACGUGAGUCCAUUUAAUGCAAAAAUAUGACGAUUCACGCCUCACUGGGAAUAAGAAUAUGUAUUCACACAUGUUCAAUCUCUCUCACUUCACUUCAACCACCUUCCUUUUUAAGAUUUAUUUUGUUCCAUAAUUUUCAAAUUAGGUACUUUAUUUAAUGAUUAGCAUAGCAAGAGAAAAGAAGAAACGUGAAAAUGAUAGAGAUCCAAACCCAUCUACAUGGAAGGUGAGUUACCUCAACAAAUGAGCCUUGGAAGUAGGGGUUGUUAAUGGGUCGGUUUGAGUAGGUUAUUGGUCAAAAUUAAAACUAAACUAAUUUAAUUGAUUUUAAAUUAUCUAAAUCAAACCAAAUCAAAAUAUAAUAUAUAUUUAUCGAUUUGAUUUAGUUCGGUUAUUAACCAUACAUAAAAAUAAAAAUAAAAGAAACAAUUCAUUCAAAAGUAAAAAAGUGACAAAAAUCCAUUCAAAUAAAUAACUGACAUUACAUAUGUUUCGAUCACUUAAUUUACUAUGAAUAAAGCUUCAAAAUUCUCUAUUUUCUCCUAGAAGAAAGAGACAAUGACAUUUUCAAUCUCACAAAGAAUUGUCAGACACUCAUAUACAUGAAAAUGAUGAAAUCAGCAAGAUAAUGCUCUCACCUAGGGCAUUUUUGCUUUCAUAAAUAAAUUAUAAAUACAUUUUGAUGAAAAUAUAUAGAAGAUCUUUAAAAUUGUUUAUAAAAAUAAUAUAUUAUGUAUGUACUAUAAUAAUAAGUUUGAUGUAUAUAAUUUGUCGGUUUGGUUCGGUUGUUUCUUUGUUUUUUUCCGAACAAAAUCAUAAACAAACCAAAUACUAUUGAUUUUUAAAAAUCUAAAUUCAAACUAAACCAAACCUAAAUAAAAUCGAUUUGAUUCUAUUUUUUUAUUUAGAUCGAUUUUUAUCCAAAUCGUGAACACUCCUACUCGGAAGAUUGGGAGAAAUCAAACGCUUCUUCAAUCUAAAUUCACUAACUACAUAUAUUAUGGGAAGAUCUUUAGACUUCUAAAUACCAUAAUAAUGUAUUACUCCUGUCAAUCAUUCAAAAUUACUCCAAAAAAGAGUAUACAAAUACAAAAGACAAUAGUACCCUUAUUUAAAAGAGAGAAGAAUCCAACAAUAACAACAUUUGGAGGGGAAAAAAAUUCUAAACUAACUCAUGUCUUCACAAUAAUAACAUUAUUACAUGCCAACGUUUAAAGCGAAAUAGGUAUAGCUCGUAAAGGACGUGCUCUCGCUAGUGUAAGACCAAACUUUUCUUCUACAUCCAAAUCUUGUGCUGCAAUAUCGCCUUCAGCUUUCCAAUCAAAUGAAUUCAACAACGAACCCAACAUUGUACAUAGUUUCGCUGUCGCCAAAGUUAAUCCCGGGCAAAUUCUUCUACCAGCACCAAAUGGAAUGAGUUCAAAAU